UCCAUCGCCUCCGGGGCCCGCCCCUGACGCCACAGCGGAAGGCGCCGCUCCGGGAUUGGACGAGCUGGCCUGUCAAUCAAGCGCGGCGCUGAGGAGUUCGGUGAGCUGAGACUGCGCGGCGCUCAGACCGGAGAAGUUGACUUCCUGUAGCCUCCAUCAAUAGCACUCUCAGGACCAGCACCACAUCUGCCUGUGGGCCUCCAUGUUCCCGUCAUGAUGAUAAUGCACUGAACUUCUAAAACUGACUUGGGGUUGAAUCUACAGCAGCUUGCUACAUACUAGAAAGCACAGCUUUAGUCUGUAUUCAUGGGUUUCCAACUUGCUCGUAAAUCUCCCCUCCCUGAUCACCUCUCAUCUAUAGACUUCAGGCACAAUAUCAAGCUUCAUAUUAGGUAAGUCAUUUCCUUCUGAUAAUUGCUUUGGUGGUCCUGAAUUUCACGCUCUGAUCCUUUGAAUUGUUUCUGUCAAUAUUUUUGUCUCUUUGUAUUUUAUAUCCUUGAGGUUGCAGGCAUGCCUUUUCUCAGGUCAGUUCCAAAGGUCCUUAAUACACAGCUCUUUGCUAUGGGAAAUGUUUGUACUGCCAGGCUUACAGUUUGCCAAUCUUUGAUGUUUGACCUUGCUGUCAUGGACAAAAACCAACUGUAUUUACUUGGCCCUAAGAGACUCACAUUUCUUUGCCAUUCUAAACAGUGACUGGACCCAUCACUGCUCACCCUUUCCAACUAUUUUCUCUGUGCUCAAAAAGCAAGGGGCAAAUUAAAAUGUCCUUUCUAGGCAUAUUUCCAACUGGUGAGUGAGAAGGCACAACUAAAUUGAGAUGCCAUUGUUUUUUAAAGGCUCUGAGCCCCUGUUGUUCAUACAUCUUUAUUAGGUGUAGUUCAUCCCAAAUCACUUACCAGGAAAAGAAGAAGAGAGGAAGGAGGAAGAGGAGAGUUAGAAAGAGAGAGAAGUGGUAGUGAGUCUGGAGUGAAUGACUGAGGACAAAGGGGCUCACUGAAAGGUUGGAAACAAGGGCUUAUAAUACUUUAUAAAAACUACUGACCAGUAGCUUUUUUCUGUUUUCAAACUUGGGCCUAGAAUAAGAUAUACCUUGAGUUUGCCUAAGAACAAUAAUCAAGAAAUGCUAACAUCUUGGAAUCGGCUUUGUGAAAUAGAUAAGGUACUUCAAAAUACUUCAGAGUUGUCACCAGAAUUAUGAUGACACUUCAUUAAAUCCACAUUAAAAAGUUACUGCUUAAUUUCUUAGUACUUUUUAUACUAGCCAGAAGUAACUAUUUUCUACAUUUUAAGUUUUGAAGAGUAAAACAGACACAAUUUUAGAUUGAUAUGUGUAUGUGUGUGUGCACUAAUACAUAUUGACUGUGUGUGUGUGUGUGUGUAUGUGUGUGUGUGU
Molecule: long non-coding RNA, 1393 nt
Organism: Peromyscus leucopus (white-footed mouse)
Lineage: Eukaryota; Metazoa; Chordata; Mammalia; Rodentia; Cricetidae
Exons: 4
Source: RefSeq, a predicted model, not a curated record